RNAcentral lists this ribosomal RNA (253 nucleotides) under uncultured prokaryote. Its description in RNAcentral is "partial 16S ribosomal RNA". It matches the Rfam family "Bacterial small subunit ribosomal RNA", at positions 524 to 776 of the family's 1533-position model. The record is from RNAcentral.
UACGUAGGGACCAAGCGUUGUUCGGAUUUACUGGGCGUAAAGGGCGCGUAGGCGGCUUAACAAGUCACUUGUGAAAUCUCCGGGCUUAACUCGGAACGGCCAAGUGAAACUGUCAAGCUAGAGUGCGGAAGGGGCAAUCGGAAUUCUUGGUGUAGCGGUGAAAUGCGUAGAUAUCAGGAGGAAUACCUAUGGCGAAAGCAGGUAUCUGGGCCAUCACUGACGCUGAGCUGCGAAAGCUAGGGGAGCAAACAGG